Pelobates cultripes (western spadefoot toad) is the source of this 299-nucleotide non-coding RNA. The record is from the annotation of a GenBank genome assembly. Lineage: Eukaryota; Metazoa; Chordata; Amphibia; Anura; Pelobatidae.
CAGAAAGGGAAUGCACAGGGGAGCUAGGUGGGCGGUAGAUUCCUGCAACAAUGAUUGAUUUACUGCACGGGAUCUCAAUUGUGCCAGAAAGGAAAUCACACAGAAAUCCACAGUAUUGUGGAUGUUCACAAUUUGGGAUUGUAUUUGCAAAUUAAUGCAGAAUCCACAAAUAAGUUUGUCUGCUUAAAAAAUAACAUUAAAAGUCCUGACAUUUCUAAAAAACAAAAACAAAAAAAUGAACAAAAAAAUUAUUGACACUGACAUUCUGAAAUUUUCAUUUGACCAUGAGUAGGCAGAAG